GUACAUUAGUGCUUGCACACGACAAUAAAUUUCAUUACAUUCGAGUGUGUGUAAAAAUCCUUUGCCAGCCAAAGCUAGCAAGAGGCCAAAGGUUCACAGGGUAUUGGAUGAAAGUCACCAACAUGCACUUGCCGAAGCCAGCCAGCACUGAAGGCAACGAUUCGCAAUCAGUAAUGAUUCUUCCGCAGGUUCACCUAUGGAAA
This 203-nucleotide unclassified non-coding RNA is filed under the name uncultured fungus. RNAcentral's name for it is "sequence contains ITS1". The record is from RNAcentral. Lineage: Eukaryota; Fungi.